This 497-nucleotide ribosomal RNA is filed under the name uncultured bacterium. RNAcentral describes it as "partial 16S ribosomal RNA". It matches the Rfam family "Bacterial small subunit ribosomal RNA", at positions 28 to 507 of the family's 1533-position model. The record is from RNAcentral.
GAUGAACGCUGGCGGCGUGCCUAAUACAUGCAAGUCGAGCGAACAGACGAGGAGCUUGCUCCUCUGACGUUAGCGGCGGACGGGUGAGUAACACGUGGAUAACCUACCUAUAAGACUGGGAUAACUUCGGGAAACCGGAGCUAAUACCGGAUAAUAUAUUGAACCGCAUGGUUCAAUAGUGAAAGACGGUUUUGCUGUCACUUAUAGAUGGAUCCGCGCCGCAUUAGCUAGUUGGUAAGGUAACGGCUUACCAAGGCAACGAUGCGUAGCCGACCUGAGAGGGGGGUCGGCCCACACGGAACCGGGAACCGGUCCCGAAUCCCAAGGGGGGGAGGCAGAGGGAAUUUUUCGGAAAGGGGGAAAAGCUGACGGGACAACCGCCCGGGAGGGAAGAAGGUUUUUGGAUUGUAAAACCCUGUUAUUAGGGAAAAAAAAAAGGUUAAAUAAACUUGCACCGCUUUACGGGAACUAAACAAAAAGCCACCGCUAACUUAGGG